UUCUUUCCUUCUCUGCCCUCAAAGAAACCUAAUCGACACCCUCUGAUCAAACCCCCAUCCAUCUCAGACAUUCAAUUAGGAAUUCCAAACAUCUUCCUCUUUAUUUUCCUCUACAGAUUCUUACUUAUUUUGAUAUCCGUCGAUUAAAGGUACUUAUUGUCACCCACUUUACAUCUUUAUCUAGAGUAAACUGGACAUUCCAUCGCAGACCUGUUGCCCCGGCCGGAAAAUCCCCCCGCUGAUUCGCUCUGCUUCUUGCUCCUCUCUGUCAAACAAGAUUCACGCCUUUAUUUGGAAAAUUGAAUUUAGGUUUUUGCUGAUUUUUGUUUAAUUCUGCAUCGGAAAUCAUGAUCACACACUCGAAUUGAAGAGCGUGCACGUGAGAAUCUAUACGAGAAGGUAUGUGUUUGUGUUCAAUAAUCAGUAUCAUGUGUCAUAUGAUUGAUUUCUUGAAUACCCAUUUGGAUAUGAGCUUGUUUGUGUUUUUGUAA
Molecule: long non-coding RNA, 491 nt
Filed under: Helianthus annuus (common sunflower)
Lineage: Eukaryota; Viridiplantae; Streptophyta; Magnoliopsida; Asterales; Asteraceae
Source: RNAcentral